Molecule: unclassified non-coding RNA, 380 nt
Filed under: uncultured bacterium
Lineage: Bacteria
Description: contains 16S-23S intergenic spacer region
Source: RNAcentral
UCCGGAUUAAUCUCCGGCAGUCUGUUAUGAGUUCUCGCCAUAACGCGUUAGUAACAUAACAUAAGGGUUGCGAUCGUUGCGGGACUUAACCCAACAUCUCACGACACGAGCUGACGACAGCCAUGCAGUGCCUGGUCUACGGCUCCUUGCGGCACCACCCCGUUUCUGGGGUGUUCCGUAGAUUUCAAGCCUUGGUAAGGUUCUUCGCUUAGCAUCGAAUUAAACCACAUGCUCCACCGCUUGUGCGGGCUCCCGUCAAUUCCUUUGAGUUUUAAUCUUGCGAUCGUACUACCCAGGCGGGAUACUUAACGCGUUAACUACGAGACCGAAAGGGUCGAAGCUCCCAGCCCCUAGUAUCCAAAGUUUACGGUGUGGACUAC